CCAAUAGCGUAUAUUAAAGUUGUUGCAGUUAAAAAGCUCGUAGUUGAACUUCGGGAUCAAUGUAUCGGUCGUGCCUUGGUAUGUACUGAUCUCAUUGGUUCUCACCUUCUGAAGAACCAUAAUGUCAUUCAUUUGAUGUUGUGGGGAAUUAGGACUGUUACCUUGAAAAAAUUAGAGUGUUUAAAGCAGGCUUACGCUUGAAUACAUUAGCAUGGAAUAAUGAAAUAGGACAUCCGAUUCUAUUUUGUUGGUUUCUAGGAUCGAUGUAAUGAUUAAUAGGGAUAGUUGGGGGCAUUAGUAUUCAAUUGUCAGAGGUGAAAUUCUUGGAUUUAUUGAAGACUAACUACUGCGAAAGCAUUUGCCAAGGAUGUUUUCAUUAAUCAAGAACGAAAGUUAGGGGAUCGAAGACGAUCAGAUACCGUCGUAGUCUUAACCAUAAACUAUGCCGACUAGGGAUCGGAUGAUGUUAAUUUUUUAAUGACUCAUUCGGCACCUUACG
This 499-nucleotide ribosomal RNA is filed under the name uncultured Glomeromycotina. RNAcentral describes it as "partial small subunit ribosomal RNA". It matches the Rfam family "Eukaryotic small subunit ribosomal RNA", at positions 591 to 1092 of the family's 1831-position model. The record is from RNAcentral. Lineage: Eukaryota; Fungi; Glomeromycota.